GUCUGGAUGGUGUAGUUGGUUAUCACGGUUAGUCCACUGAUCCGAAGGCCGCGAGUUCGAGUCUCGCUCUGGACA
RNAcentral lists this transfer RNA (75 nucleotides) under Cyphellophora europaea CBS 101466. RNAcentral describes it as "tRNA-Ser (ACT) (tRNA-Ser-ACT-1-1)". It matches the Rfam family "tRNA". From Rfam's summary of the family: Transfer RNA (tRNA) molecules are approximately 80 nucleotides in length. Their secondary structure includes four short double-helical elements and three loops (D, anti-codon, and T loops). The record is from RNAcentral. Lineage: Eukaryota; Fungi; Ascomycota; Eurotiomycetes; Chaetothyriales; Cyphellophoraceae.